CAAAAAAUAGUUUAAAAAAAAUUAUGGCUUUGGGAGUUAUAGAUGAGGAAACUCUUUUUUGA
RNAcentral lists this transfer RNA (62 nucleotides) under Pseudotibiozus cerasopus. RNAcentral's name for it is "tRNA-Pro". The record is from RNAcentral. Lineage: Eukaryota; Metazoa; Arthropoda; Diplopoda; Spirostreptida; Spirostreptidae.